UUGUAUUGUUCGGAAAAUAUUAUGAAAUUAUGUAUAAAUCGAUUAUGGUGUUAAAAAUUAUCUAUAGGAUAAGGAAGAAGCCCCCACAAAUAUUGGAUUAAUUUUUUUAGUAUUAAAAUUUAUAAUUUAUUAUGUUGUAUUGUUAAUAUUUUGUGUAUUGGAAUAUUGUGCAUUAGGAAUAUUGCUGGGUUAGAAUUUGGCAUACAUGAUGAAUAUAUUUGAUUUUUGAAAUAUUGUUAGGUAAAGUUUUUAUCUUGUUCAAUUAUUAUUUCCUUGAAAAUGCUACAAAUUUGCUAUAUAUUUGAUUUUUGAAAUUUUACAAUGACUAUUAUCAAUAUUGCAGCAUGUUAAUAACAUUUUAUUUACUUUUUGGUGUAGGAUUUUUGUUUUCAAGGUGACAAAGAC
Molecule: long non-coding RNA, 405 nt
Filed under: Citrus sinensis (sweet orange)
Lineage: Eukaryota; Viridiplantae; Streptophyta; Magnoliopsida; Sapindales; Rutaceae
Description: long non-coding RNA (CSIN_LNC001185)
Source: RNAcentral